ACCACGGUGUUUUCACUCAAAGGAAAUAGUAAAUCCGAUGUACUUUGGAUAUACUUGGGGAACACGACAAUAGAGGGCGCGAAAAACAAUUGAAUUAUUCUAUAAAUUCCUGUCUAAUCUGUGAUACCAAUUCCAUGUUUCCGUUACGCGCAAUUAACAAAAUAAAAGAUAUGACAAAAAUAAUGUUGUAUUAUUUUUAAUUAGCCUUUUAAAAUGUUAUUAAUUAUAAUUAACAAAAAAAAACAAAUAUUAUCUAAAGUUUUUGUUCUUAAAUUGGUCCGUUUUAAAAUCUGAAGGUGCGAAACUUUUAUGAUAAACUUUAAAAAAGAGGCAUGGAACGGAAUGUUUUUUUUUUCAAAGCCGCCAUAACGCCAUUAUUUCAAUUCUUCACUUUCUUGUGAUGUUCGAUGCUUUGCUUUGCUAGAAAGAACUUUAAAAUUAUGAUGUUGAACUAUACAACGACUGUGCUUGCCCUGGACUCCGAUAAAUCUGCUUUUUUGUGAAUAUACCGGCUCUGCUCAACGGAUUUUGAUUUGCUCGUUAGAUUCGUUUGUCGUAACAAUGGUUAUAAGUGCUGUGUGUUGUGUACUUAAUUGCGGUAAAACGCGAUUAGAUAAUAUGAUUCUUCACCAAUGACCCAAUCCAAUUAUUGAGCCUGACUGGUUUCUUCUUCUAAUGGCAGUGAUGUGUUAGCAAUGGAAAACUGUGUCAUACUCACUUUAAGAAAAAAUAUAAUACUUCAAGCGGAAGGCUCCGUUUUACCCAUUUCUCUAUUGAGGUCUUGGGGUAUGGAAUUGAUAAGCAAACCACAUUGCUGCAAUUUCCAAUCAAUGUUCAAGAACCAAUGCAAGAUGAUCAAGUACCCAGAGCCCCUUUGAGGAACAUCACCAAUCAGUACCCACAGGGCGGCUACUAAUCUCAGAUCUCAGCCGUCAGCUUCAGGAAUUGAUAAGCAAGCAAACCGCAUCGCUGCAAUUUGCUAGCAAUAUUCAAGAACCGAUGCAAGAUGAUCAAAUACCCAGAGCCCCUUUGAGGAACAUCACUGAUGUCAGUUCUCAGCCGUCAACUUCAGGUCACGCGCCACGACACACACCCCGAUUUUUCACGGAAGCUAGCAGUUUGGCCAAACAAAUAAAAAACCUUACUGAGACAAAAGAAAAAUAUUCUUUCGUUUAUUGCUCGUGUUGGUGUGGUGAAAAUUGUCGGUAGGAAACACUGCGCUUGAAAUAAUUAAGACGCAUUAGGAGAAGUAAUUCUCUAAACGCUUUCGACUAGUUCUUUCCUGGUUUUUGAAGCUAAGUAGUAUCACCACCAAUUACGUAACUAUAAAACAUAUUUUAAAAUAAAUUAUUAAAAACUAUUCCCCUG
RNAcentral lists this long non-coding RNA (1368 nucleotides) under Leguminivora glycinivorella. Its description in RNAcentral is "uncharacterized LOC125230657, transcript variant X2". Lineage: Eukaryota; Metazoa; Arthropoda; Insecta; Lepidoptera; Tortricidae. The record is from RNAcentral.